This 480-nucleotide ribosomal RNA is filed under the name uncultured bacterium. RNAcentral's name for it is "partial 16S ribosomal RNA". It matches the Rfam family "Bacterial small subunit ribosomal RNA", at positions 29 to 507 of the family's 1533-position model. The record is from RNAcentral.
AUGAACGCUGGCGGCGUGCUUAACACAUGCAAGUCGAACGAAGCACUUUAUUUGAUUUCCUUCGGGACUGAUUAUUUUGUGACUGAGUGGCGGACGGGUGAGUAACGCGUGGGUAACCUGCCUUGUACAGGGGGAUAACAGUUGGAAACGGCUGCUAAUACCGCAUAAGCGCACGGCAUCGCAUGAUGCAGUGUGCAAAACUCCGGUGGUAUAAGAUGGACCCGCGUUGGAUUAGCUAGUUGGUGAGGUAACGGCCCACCAAGGCGACGAUCCAUAGCCGACCUGAGAGGGUGACCGGCCACAUUGGGACUGAGACACGGCCCAAACUCCUACGGGAGGCAGCAGUGGGGAAUAUUGCACAAUGGGCGAAAGCCUGAUGCAGCGACGCCGAGUGAGCGAAGAAGUAUUUCGGUAUGUAAAGCUCUAUCAGCAGGGAAGAUAAUGACGGUACCUGACUAAGAAGCACCGGCUAAAUACGUG